Molecule: small nuclear RNA, 95 nt
Filed under: Cyprinodon variegatus (sheepshead minnow)
Lineage: Eukaryota; Metazoa; Chordata; Actinopteri; Cyprinodontiformes; Cyprinodontidae
Source: RNAcentral
GUCAGCUAGCGACAUAUGCAAAAUUGGAUACGAUACAGAGAAGAUUAACACUACACAAGGAUGACACGUGUAAUCCUGAAGCGUUUCCAUAUUUU